AUUGAACGCUGGCGGCGUGCCUAACACAUGCAAGUCGAGCGGUAACAGGUGUAGCAAUACAUGCUGACGAGCGGCGAACGGGUGAGUAAUGCUUCGGAAUCUGCCCAUGUAGUGGGGAAUAACCAGCCGAAAGGUUGGCUAAUACCGCAUACGACCUACGGGUGAAAGCAGGGGAUCGCAAGACCUUGCGCUAUUGGAUGAGCCGAAGUCGGAUUAGCNGUUGGUAGGUAACGGCCUACCAAGGCGACGAUCCGUAGCUGGUCUGAGAGGACGACCAGCCACACUGGGACUGAGACACGGCCCAGACUCCUACGGAGGCAGCAGUGGGGAAUAUUGGACAAUGGGGGCAACCCUGAUCCAGCGACGCCGCGUGUGUGAAGAAGGCCUGCGGGUUGUAAAGCACUUUUAGUGGGGAUGAAAAGCACAUGGCUAAUAUCCGUGUGUCUUGACCUAA
Molecule: ribosomal RNA, 454 nt
Filed under: uncultured bacterium
Lineage: Bacteria
Description: bacterial SSU rRNA
Rfam family: Bacterial small subunit ribosomal RNA
Source: RNAcentral